Molecule: long non-coding RNA, 1019 nt
Filed under: Salmo salar (Atlantic salmon)
Lineage: Eukaryota; Metazoa; Chordata; Actinopteri; Salmoniformes; Salmonidae
Description: lncRNA (ENSSSAG00000099523.1, ENSSSAG00000112694.1)
Source: RNAcentral
CACAAAUUAAAAUACAAUGAUGUACAAACAAUACAUCUAAAAUAUAAUGAGUGUGUGUGUUAGUGUGUCUGUGUGUUAGUGUGUCUGUGUGUUAGUGUGUCUGUUAGUGUGUCUGUAUUAGAGUGUGUGUGUGUGUGUGUGUGUGUGUGUGUGUCUCUCCCCUUUGUUCCAUGAUGUUUAAUCUGUUUUUUUUAAAGGUAAUUCUUCUGUUUGCUGAGUAACUGGAAAUGGAAGGGAGUUCCAUGUGAUCAUGGCUCUGUAUAAUACUAGAUGACUCUGCUAAACCUCUGCUGAGAUACUCCUGAGAAGGCCAACCUCUGACGGUGGUGUUACACCACGAUUCAAACCAUCAAAUAGUUCAUUAGCAUCGUUAAUGAAAGGUUGUGGAAGUAACAACUCACCUUAAGCUUUGACUGAGUGCCGAGCGGAUGUUUUCGCUACAGCGCUUUGUUGUUGGUUCAUUACCUCGACUGCGCCUACUAGAGAUGCACUUGUCUUCACCUUUCCUCCGUACUAGUAGGUGCAGAACACAGAAUUUAAGGGAAUUCUUUAAUCCAUUUUUAAGUCAGUUUGCUUUUUAGUGAGAAACUGGGUACUGUCUGCUGAAGACAAGAUUCACAUGUAGUUUUACAUAUUUUUUUAGCUUAAUGUAAGUCUUGCAUUCCAAGCUCUUUGUGUAUCUUGUUUAGCGACAUUGACAUUUAUGUUUAGUACUUUAUUACAGCCACCUCUGGGGGAAAAAGGUGAACACAAACAUGUAAUAUCUGCAUUCAUCCUUACACUGUUUUCUAUAGCAUGGAGUUUAUCAACUACAGGGAGAAUUGUAGAAAAAUAUGCUUCAGAGAAAAACAGCUUUUUUGUUACAUAUCUCACAUGCAAUCAGUUGCUGCAAAGUGACAGAUUUGUAUAUCGGUCGAUCCAAAGAGAUGACAUAACAACAAACCUAUUUACUUAUUGUACAGGACAUUGUAUCUUUGAACUGUCAUGUGUUAUGUUGAAAUGAUUAAAAUACAAACCCA